UUAAGUCCCGCAACCGAGCGCAACCCUCGUUAUUGCUAACGCGUGAAGGCGAGCACUCUAGACGAACUGCCGUUGACAAACGGAGGAAGUGGGGAUGACGUCAAAUCAUCAUGCCCCUUAUGUCCAGGGCUACACACGUGCUACAAUGGCCGGUACAAAGGGCUGCAAGACCGCGGAGGUGGAGCGAAUCCCAAAAAGCCGGUCCCAGUUCGGAUUGGAGGCUGAAACUCGCCUCCAUGAAGUCGGAGUUGCUAGUAAUCGCAGAUCAGCAAUGCUGCGGUGAAUACGUUCCCGGGCUU
RNAcentral lists this ribosomal RNA (299 nucleotides) under uncultured Rubrobacteria bacterium. Its description in RNAcentral is "partial 16S ribosomal RNA". It matches the Rfam family "Bacterial small subunit ribosomal RNA", at positions 1080 to 1381 of the family's 1533-position model. Lineage: Bacteria; Bacillati; Actinomycetota; Rubrobacteria. The record is from RNAcentral.